RNAcentral lists this long non-coding RNA (165 nucleotides) under Mus musculus (house mouse). RNAcentral describes it as "predicted gene, 57029". The record is from RNAcentral. Lineage: Eukaryota; Metazoa; Chordata; Mammalia; Rodentia; Muridae.
GGUUCUCUGCUCUUUUUUUUUUUUUUUUGAAUAUUUAUACAGCAGGUUCAGAUCACAUUUUUCUACUAAUAAGAAUGCUAACAUCAUUGUGUAGAUAAUCAGCAAGACUUUAUGAAGUUUACACCUUUGCAUUAUUAAAGGAUAUAACAGUUCGUGUAAACCCAA